GGCGGCGUGCCUAAUACAUGCAAGUCGAGCGAACAGAUAAGGAGCUUGCUCCUUUGACGUUAGCGGCGGACGGGUGAGUAACACGUGGAUAACCUACCUAUAAGACUGGGAUAACUUCGGGAAACCGGAGCUAAUACCGGAUAACAUAUUGAACCGCAUGGUUCAAUAGUGAAAGGCGGCUUUGCUGUCACUUAUAGAUGGAUCCGCGCCGUAUUAGCUAGUUGGUAAGGUAACGGCUUACCAAGGCAACGAUACAGCCGACCUGAGAGGGUGAUCGGCCACACUGGAACUGAGACACGGUCCAGACUCCUACGGGAGGCAGCAGUAGGGAAUCUUCCGCAAUGGGCGAAAGCCUGACGGAGCAACGCCGCGUGAGUGAUGAAGGUCUUCGGAUCGUAAAACUCUGUUAUCAGGGAAGAACAAAUGUGUAAGUAACUGUGCACAUCUUGACGGUACCUGAUCAGAAAGCCACGGCUAACUACGUGCCAGCAGCCGCGGUAAUACGUAGGUGGCAAGCGUUAUCCGGAAUUAUUGGGCGUAAAGCGCGCGUAGGCGGUUUUUUAAGUCUGAUGUGAAAGCCCACGGCUCAACCGUGGAGGGUCAUUGGAAACUGGAAAACUUGAGUGCAGAAGAGGAAAGUGGAAUUCCAUGUGUAGCGGUGAAAUGCGCAGAGAUAUGGAGGAACACCAGUGGCGAAGGCGACUUUCUGGUCUGUAACUGACGCUGAUGUGCGAAAGCGUGGGGAUCAAACAGGAUUAGAUACCCUGGUAGUCCACGCCGUAAACGAUGAGUGCUAAGUGUUAGGGGGUUUCCGCCCCUUAGUGCUGCAGCUAACGCAUUAAGCACUCCGCCUGGGGAGUACGACCGCAAGGUUGAAACUCAAAGGAAUUGACGGGGACCCGCACAAGCGGUGGAGCAUGUGGUUUAAUUCGAAGCAACGCGAAGAACCUUACCAAAUCUUGACAUCCUUUGACCGCUCUAGAGAUAGAGUUUUCCCCUUCGGGGGACAAAGUGACAGGUGGUAUGGUUGU
Molecule: ribosomal RNA, 1031 nt
Filed under: Staphylococcus warneri
Lineage: Bacteria; Bacillati; Bacillota; Bacilli; Caryophanales; Staphylococcaceae
Description: bacterial SSU rRNA
Rfam family: Bacterial small subunit ribosomal RNA
Source: RNAcentral